UAUAUAUACAUGUACACUUUGAAAUUUAAAAUAUACUUCUUUGUCAAUUGAUAAAGUACAUUGUAACUGGUGUACUAUACUAAUAGUAAGCACUCAGGCUAGUGAAAUUUCUAUUCGUACUGGUAAGAUUUUGCAAAACUUUGUUUGGCCAACUCUGUUAUUGAAAGCCUCAAAUUUAUGGCUGUGAUAUUGUUAUGAAGAACAGCAAUAAAACCACCAUUCCUCAUUGUCCCCAGUUAGAAAUAAAAUGAGUCUGUCUUUCAGUUCUGUCUUGUUAUUAAGAGCUCUCAUGUGCAAAAAUGAUGUGUACGAUUCUUACCAGAUUUUUAUCAAAUUUAUAUGAAAAAGGUUUUAUUAAAAAUGUAGCAACUGUAAGACUUGUGCUGGACUAUGAAUUCUUGAGAAAAAAAACAAUGAAAAAGGGGUUAAAGCUUUUAUUGCAUAUUUUUAAAAUAUUUUUAAUUAAAUCUAUGGACACAGAUGAAAAUAUCAAAAUCCUCUCUAAUGCAAUCUACUUACUGGUGUUGUUUUUUUUAAGUUAUUUUUAGAUGCAGGUCCAGGAAAUGAAUUACCUAUAUACAUGAUAUAUAAACCUACAUGUAUAAAUAAAUUUACCUGGAAAUAAAUUAAAUGUCAUUAUGAAUUAGUACAUAUUUUAAUUCACUUUCUAUAAGGAAUAGGAAGAAAUUACAAGGAAAUGUUAUCUUAGUACAUUUGUAGUUAGGACAAUGUAGGAGGAAAUGAAACCAUUAUUAAUUUGAUUGUCUAGGUUGUGAUCUCAUUACUUGUGUAUUAGACUGAUAGAUAGAUACAUGUACAUGUUCAUUUCUUUCAAAUAAUAUACAGUUUUAAUUUACAUUUACUAUUUGUAAGUAUUGUUAUUUUAAGUAAAAUGUAAGAUAUUAAAAGCUUAUGUCUGGUCCAUCAGUAAGUAAUUUUAAAAAGCUAUAUGAAGAAGAAAAGGAAUUAGUAUAUAUCUUGAUCAUGUAUAGCAGAAAAAAAUAUUAUGUUUGCUUUGAUGAGAAAUCCUCCCCUUAAACUCCUGUCUCUCCUUCACCUGAAAUAAUGAGGGAGGGACUCUUUCCAAAAUAUUUCCCUGAUGUUUUAAAUUUUGUGUGCUUUAAUCCCUUUCGAAAAUUGUGAUAUAUACUCGCUGUGUUAAAGACCCAUUGGCGGUUUUUGGAUGUUUUCUACUCUUGUUUCUUUGAAACGUUCCCCAUUUCCAUUCUUCAAUUAGUAUUUAGUGGAUCAAGUUAAAUUACAUUUGCGGGUGUGUGCUGCUGUAAAACUCUUUUUUUUAAAUCUACAAGGGUCUCUAAGAUAUGGCUCUUCUAAACGGGUCAGCCUAGUCAAAAUUAUAAGUCUGGGCGGCUUUUUAUUUUUUUUUCACGCCUUCUACGACGUUGUAGGAAGGCGUAGAAAAUUAAAAGCCUUGCAGAGUCAUACAUUUGGACUAGGGUCACCAUUUAUCGUUUUGAGGAUUAUCAUGUUUCUUUGACAUACUUGGUUUUUUUUUAGGUAAAAUUUGUGUCAGUCAAGGCACAUGUCUGCAUUUAUUAUAACCUUAGACAUGAUACCAUCAAAUUUCUUUUUUUUUUUAGAAAAUGGCAUCAAGCAAGUUGUUCCUGGAUACAAUUUCCCAAAUAGAGGAGAAAAAACUACCUCCAAGACUGAAGAGGGAAUUCUUUGUCUGUGAUGAAAAUGACAAGAAUGCUGGACCAGUAAUAAGAGUAAUGCAGUGGAACAUCUUAGCCCAAGGUUUGUGUUGAUAAAGGG
Molecule: long non-coding RNA, 1776 nt
Filed under: Mytilus galloprovincialis (Mediterranean mussel)
Lineage: Eukaryota; Metazoa; Mollusca; Bivalvia; Mytilida; Mytilidae
Source: RNAcentral